GCCAUGAUCAAGACAGAUGGAGUCGCUGCUCUCCUGGAGUUUACAUCCUCUAAGGGAAGACAGACGGCACACAGACAGAAAGUACGCUAUAUCCCGAGGCACAGAAGAGAGGGGAGUGGACGGGUUCUUUCGGAUUGACUGGUGAGGGAAGGUCUGGAUGAGAAGGGACAAUGCUGGACAUAAAGGAGAGACAGCUGAGGAGGGACUGAGCCCACUUCCGAGGGGAGACAGACAUUUACGCAGAUGAUUAUAAAAAGGUUGUGUUUCUGCAGAGACAUAGCAGGGAUGUGUGACCUCAGGAGAGGGACAUCACCUCUCCUGGCCUCGGUUUCCUUGUCUGUAAUGAGAUGUUCCCAGAAGCACCUACUGCAUAGGCUUGACAUAAGGAUGCAAUUAGGUGAUGUGUUGUGAUGCCUAGA
Long non-coding RNA from Cervus elaphus (red deer), 419 nucleotides. RefSeq lists it as uncharacterized. The transcript has 3 exons. The record is from RefSeq and is a predicted model, not a curated record. Lineage: Eukaryota; Metazoa; Chordata; Mammalia; Artiodactyla; Cervidae.